GGGGGUGUAGCUCAGUUGGGAGAGCGCUUGAAUGGCAUUCAAGAGGUCAUGGGUUCGAACCCCACCAUCUCCA
RNAcentral lists this transfer RNA (73 nucleotides) under Candidatus Caccomorpha excrementavium. Its description in RNAcentral is "tRNA-Ala". It matches the Rfam family "tRNA". From Rfam's summary of the family: Transfer RNA (tRNA) molecules are approximately 80 nucleotides in length. Their secondary structure includes four short double-helical elements and three loops (D, anti-codon, and T loops). Further hydrogen bonds mediate the characteristic L-shaped molecular structure. tRNAs have two regions of fundamental functional importance: the anti-codon, which is responsible for specific mRNA codon recognition, and the 3' end, to which the tRNAs corresponding amino acid is attached (by aminoacyl-tRNA synthetases). tRNAs cope with the degeneracy of the genetic code in two manners: having more than one tRNA (with a specific anti-codon) for a particular amino acid; and 'wobble' base-pairing, i.e. permitting non-standard base-pairing at the 3rd anti-codon position. Lineage: Bacteria; Bacillati; Bacillota; Clostridia. The record is from RNAcentral.